RNAcentral lists this ribosomal RNA (492 nucleotides) under uncultured bacterium. RNAcentral describes it as "partial 16S ribosomal RNA". It matches the Rfam family "Bacterial small subunit ribosomal RNA", at positions 30 to 507 of the family's 1533-position model. The record is from RNAcentral.
AUUGAACGCUGGCGGCAUGCUUUACACAUGCAAGUCGAACGGUAACAGGCCUUCGGGUGCUGACAAGUGGCGAACGGGUGAGUAAUGCAUCGGAACGUGCCCAGAGGUGGGGGAUAACGCAGCGAAAGCUGUGCUAAUACCGCAUGUGAUCUGAGGAUGAAAGCGGGGGACCAGGCAGCAAUGUUUGGCCUCGCGCCUUUGGAGCGGCCGAUGUCAGAUUAGGUAGUUGGUGGGGUAAAGGCCUACCAAGCCGACGAUCUGUAGCUGGUCUGAGAGGACGACCAGCCACACUGGGACUGAGACACGGCCCAGACUCCUACGGGAGGCAGCAGUGGGGAAUUUUGGACAAUGGGCGCAAGCCUGAUCCAGCAAUGCCGCGUGCGGGAAGAAGGCCUUCGGGUUGUAAACCGCUUUUGUACGGAACGAAAAGGCUCUGGCUAAUACCUGGGGCUGAUGACGGUACCGGAAGAAUAAGCACCGGCUAACUACGUG